AGUCGAUUCGAUUUACCUUCGGGUAAUGAGGAUGGCGGACGGGUGAGUAACGCGUAAGGAACUUGCCUCUUGGACUGGGACAACUGUUGGAAACGACAGCUAAUACCGGAUAUUAUGAGAUUCUCGCAUGAGAAACUUAUGAAAGCUAUAUGCGCCAAGAGAGAGCCUUGCGUUCCAUUAGCUAGUUGGUGGGGUAAUGGCCCACCAAGGCGACGAUGGAUAGCCGGCCUGAGAGGGUGAACGGCCACAAGGGGACUGAGACACGGCCCUUACUCCUACGGGAGGCAGCAGUGGGGAAUAUUGGACAAUGGGCCACAAGCCUGAUCCAGCAAUUCUGUGUGCACGAUGAAGGUCUUCGGAUUGUAAAGUGCUUUCGUUGGGAAGAAAAAGUGACGGUACCACAGAAGAAGCGACGGUAAAUACGUGCCACAGCCGCGGUAAUACGUAUGUCGCAAGGUUAUCCGGAUUUAUUGGGCGUAAAGCGCG
This 486-nucleotide ribosomal RNA is filed under the name uncultured bacterium. Its description in RNAcentral is "bacterial SSU rRNA". It matches the Rfam family "Bacterial small subunit ribosomal RNA", at positions 60 to 569 of the family's 1533-position model. The record is from RNAcentral.